RNAcentral lists this ribosomal RNA (2163 nucleotides) under Triticum aestivum (bread wheat). Its description in RNAcentral is "partial small subunit ribosomal RNA". The record is from RNAcentral. Lineage: Eukaryota; Viridiplantae; Streptophyta; Magnoliopsida; Poales; Poaceae.
AUGUUUGUCAUUAUUCAGCAGAUCUGUGCCACCUCGCUGGCGCCUGGUAACAUGACACCAACGGUCCUCAUGGAGUUUGCGCCGCAGAGGCAGAUUAAACGGAGCUAUGAUGAAAUGGCCUACCGAGGUGUGCCCCGUGGGUAUGCAGAGACUGUUGGCGAGUCAGGCAGCCCUGUUCGUGUUGACUCGCAAGAUUCGUCUGCGCCAAAACGCAAGUGCAUCAGCCUUAACAGUGAUGGCUUUGGAGUGAAGCGGGAGAUUUUUGUCCCCUCUAAGAUGUCAUCGUCUGAGCGGCGGUACCUUCGCAAGAGAUUCCGCUCAGAGCUUGAUUCGGUCCGGGAUCUCCUUAAGAAGCCAGAGUUUUUGGCCAUAAUGCCUGCUAGCAGGGCACCUGCGUACUCAUCCUCUGCUGCCCCUCGAGCUAAAAAAGUGAAAGGGGGGAGCCAUGUUCUCCGUGGUGCCAAGGGGCGCUUCUUGCCUACAAAGCCCCGGCCUGAAACAUCCAUGGUGUUGCCCAAAGCUACGAUUCUGCAGAUGUGUGAAGGUAUUCUGAAGAAGCUCAUGACUCAGAAAUGUAGUCAUAUUUUUAAUGUUCCGGUAGACGUGGAAAAGCUGAACAUUCCAGAUUAUAAUGACAUUAUCAAGCACCCGAUGGACCUUGGGACCAUUAAGAAGAAGCUAGAUUCUGGUUCCUACACAAGGCCAUCUGAUUUUGCAGCUGAUGUCAGGCUGACCUUUAGCAAUGCGAUAACUUACAAUCCUCGAGGGCAUGCAGUGCAUGAUAUGGCCAUUCAACUGAAUAAAAUGUUUGAGUCUAGAUGGAAGACAGUUGAGAAGAAGUUGGCUUCUGCUGCAACGAAGCCACAUGUUGAGGUUGAUAGGGCCGACUCAAAGAGGAGAAAGACCCCUCCUGUUGACCGCAGUGACUUGUCAAUAGAGCGUGUCAGGCCAACUGAGAUUAUGAAGCCGAAGAUGACAUUUGAGGAGAAAGAAUCCUUUGGAAACUGCUUAGCUUCUUUGUCCGAGGAGCCAGAAUUAUUACCUGGUCACAUCAUUGAUUUGUUACAGCAGUGUAUUGACAACAACACAGAUCAGCCUGGGGAUGGAGAGAUAGAGAUUGAUAUCCAUGCACUCAGUGAUGAUAUACUAUUAGAACUGAAGAAGCAUGUCGACAAAUAUUUGCAAGAGAGAGAUAACCAGCAGAAAAAAUCAGAGCCCUCUGAGAAUUGGGCUGUGAACGUUCCUGGCCUCAGUCACUUGUCCACAAAUCCCUGCAAAGGUGGUGAGCCUAUUGAGGAGGAUGUGGACAUUUGCGGCAAUGCAUCCCCUAUAUUGAUAGGGAAGGAUCCUCAGAUCAGAACUAACAAAUGUGGUAGUCCAAGUAGUUCCAGCAGUGACUCGGGAUCUUCAUCCAGCGAUUCUGACUCCGGCAGUGAUACUGAAAGCGAAUCAGAAAAGGUUGGUAGCCCAGCAAAGCUUGCGAAGGUUACUAAAAUACCAGAACAACCUGCAGAGCAAGAAAAGAGUGAUGUUAUUAACCCUGUUGAUGCUAACCACACUGCCGGUGAUGUGGAACUCCGUGAGCAGGACAAUGAGUCCAAGGCUGCACCUGAGGGGGAGAAUGCAAAACUCGACAGGCAAGUCUCCCCGGACAAGCUCUUACGAGCAGCUCUUUUGAGGAGCCGUUAUGCUGAUGUUAUUGUUAAAGCUCGUGGGAUUCUCAGCCAGGGUGAGGGUGGAGAUAAACAGGAGGAGCUGGAGAAACUGCAGAAGGAAGAAAAAGAACGGCUUUUGGCUGAAGGUAAUGCAGCCAUGGAAGCUCGCAGAGCUGAAGCUGAAGCUGAAUCUAAGCGUAAGCGGGACCUUGAGAGGGAAAAGGCUCGUCAGGCCUUGCAGGAGAUGGAGAGAACUGUAGAAAUUAAUGACAGCGUCCAUCCCAAGGACCUAGAAAUGCUUGGUACAAUCACCACGGAACAUAUUGUAAGUUCUGUUGAUGAGACGAGUCCUGAGCAUUCCCAGGAUGGCAUGCCCAGUUUUCUUCCUGGUUCUGGCAGCAUGUUGGAAAAACUUGGACUAUUUAUGAAAGUAGAUGAGGACGAAGAGGAAGAUGAGCCAUGCAGUUUUCCUAGCAGCAAAGAUGUGGAGGAAGUAGAGAUCGACUAA